Molecule: ribosomal RNA, 232 nt
Filed under: uncultured bacterium
Lineage: Bacteria
Description: partial 16S ribosomal RNA
Rfam family: Bacterial small subunit ribosomal RNA
Source: RNAcentral
CGGACGGGUAAGUAAUGCUUGGGAAUCUAGCUUAUGGAGGGGGAUAACUACGGGAAACUGUAGCUAAUACCGCGUAAUAUCGAAAGAUUAAAGUGUGGGACCUUCGGGCCACAUGCCAUAAGAUGAGCCCAAGUGGGAUUAGGUAGUUGGUGAGGUAAAGGCUCACCAAGCCGACGAUCUCUAGCUGGUCUGAGAGGAUGACCAGCCACACUGGGACUGAGACACGGCCCAG